CCGAGUGAGGGCCCUCUGGGUCCAACCUCCCACCCGUGUUUAUUUACCUUGUUGCUUCGGCGAGCCUGCCUUUUGGCUGCCGGGGGACGUCAGUCCCCGGGUCCGUGCUCGCCGGAGACACCUUAGAACUCUGUCUGAAGAUUGUAGUCUGAGAUUAAAUAUAAAUUAUUUAA
This 173-nucleotide unclassified non-coding RNA is filed under the name uncultured fungus. Its description in RNAcentral is "sequence contains ITS1". Lineage: Eukaryota; Fungi. The record is from RNAcentral.